This is a non-coding RNA of Pelodiscus sinensis (Chinese soft-shelled turtle), 328 nucleotides long. NCBI's taxonomy places the organism in Eukaryota, Metazoa, Chordata, Testudines, Trionychidae. The record is from RefSeq and is a predicted model, not a curated record.
CUGCCCCAGUCCCACGUUGCUCCUGAGGCCAAAGUGCAGUGUGGAGAGUGGGACGUGGAUCUGGAGCAGUCCCCAGGGGUGUGGAGCUGGUGGUAGCUGUGUUCCAGGGCUGGGAAAGGGGUCACUGGAUGAGGAAGUGGCCAGCCAGACCUGGGCUCUAGUCCCAGCCUGGGAUCUGUGGAGUCAGGUUCCCCCAGCAGGAUGGCGAGUGCACUGAAGAAGCACCUUGAAUUGCUGAGCGUGGUUCAAUGGGUUCUGACCUUCCUCUUCUUCGGAGCUUUCUUCACGUCCUUGCUGCUCUGCCUGCUUUUCACCCGCCUCUGGGCCA